CCUACGGGUGGCUGCAGUAGGGAAUCUUCCACAAUGGGCGAAAGCCUGAUGGAGCAACGCCGCGUGGGUGAAGAAGGUCUUCGGAUCGUAAAACUCUGUUGAUAGGGAAGAAAGUGCGUGAGAGUAACUGUUCACGUUUCGACGGUAUAUAACAAGAACGCCACGCCUAAAUACGUGCCAGCAGCCGAGGCAAAACGUAGGUGGCAAGCGUUAUCUGGAUUUAUUGGGAGUAAAGGGAGCGUAGUCGGUCUUUUAAGUCAGAUGUGAAAGGCUUCGGCUUAACCGGAGUAGUGCAUUGGAAACUGGGAGACUUGAGUACAGAAGAGGUGAGUGGAAUUCCAUGUGUAGCGGUGAAAUGCGUAGAUAUAUGGAAGAACACCAGUGGCGAAGGCGGCUCUCUGGUCUGUAACUGACGCUGAGGCUCGAAAGCGUGGGUAGCAAACAGGAUUAGAUACCCCUGUAGUC
This 465-nucleotide ribosomal RNA is filed under the name uncultured bacterium. Its description in RNAcentral is "partial 16S ribosomal RNA". It matches the Rfam family "Bacterial small subunit ribosomal RNA", at positions 338 to 795 of the family's 1533-position model. The record is from RNAcentral.